Molecule: transfer RNA, 64 nt
Filed under: bovine gut metagenome
Also listed under: 1 other name
Rfam family: tRNA
About the family: Transfer RNA (tRNA) molecules are approximately 80 nucleotides in length. Their secondary structure includes four short double-helical elements and three loops (D, anti-codon, and T loops). Further hydrogen bonds mediate the characteristic L-shaped molecular structure. tRNAs have two regions of fundamental functional importance: the anti-codon, which is responsible for specific mRNA codon recognition, and the 3' end, to which the tRNAs corresponding amino acid is attached (by aminoacyl-tRNA synthetases). tRNAs cope with the degeneracy of the genetic code in two manners: having more than one tRNA (with a specific anti-codon) for a particular amino acid; and 'wobble' base-pairing, i.e. permitting non-standard base-pairing at the 3rd anti-codon position.
Source: RNAcentral
GCGUAGCGCAGUCUGGUAGCGCAUUUGAUUUGGGAUCAAAAGGCCGCUGGUUCGAAUCCAGUCG